GAUGAACGCUGGCGGCGUGCCUAAUACAUGCAAGUCGAGCGAACAGACGAGGAGCUUGCUCCUCUGACGUUAGCGGCGGACGGGUGAGUAACACGUGUAUAACCUACCUAUAAGACUGGGAUGACUUCGGGAAACCGGAGCUAAUACCGGAUAAUAUAUUGAACCGCAUGGUUCAAUAGUGAAAGACGGUUUUGCUGUCACUUAUAGAUGGAUCCGCGCCGCAUUAGCUAGUUGGUAAGGUAACGGCUUACCAAGGCAACGAUGCGUAGCCGACCUGAGAGGGUGAUCGGCCACACUGGAACUGAGACACGGUCCAGACUCCUACGGGAGGCAGCAGUAGGGAAUCGUCCGCAAUGGGCGAAAGCCUGACGGAGCAGCGCCGCGUGAGUGAUGAAGGUCUUCGGAUCGUAAAACUCUGUUAUUAGGGAAGAACAAAUGUGUAAGUAACUAUGCACGUCCUGACGGUACCUAGUCAGAAAGCCACGGCUAACUACGUG
Molecule: ribosomal RNA, 497 nt
Filed under: uncultured bacterium
Lineage: Bacteria
Description: partial 16S ribosomal RNA
Rfam family: Bacterial small subunit ribosomal RNA
Source: RNAcentral